UCCGGUUUCCCCGAGCCUCUGCUCCGAGGAACAAUGAAAAAGUGUCGCAGCGUCUGGUAUCGGGGCUUCUUUAUACGGGACUUCUCUUACGAUUGCAUCUUUCUCGUUGUUCACUCUCGUUCUUUGUCGCGCCUUCCACCACCCUUUUUAUCACACACCUUUCGGACGUUCGAACUUCGCAUCCUACGUUCAAGAACGACGCGCCGGAAACGAAAUGAUAAUACAAAGCCGACCCUGAUGUAAUUUUCAAGGUAAUCUCUCGGCACUUAAUACGCUUCGCGAUGCCUCUCUCUCGACGAUUGUUCGGUCAAGGGCCAAAGGACAGAUAUCAAUCGAUUACGAUGACAGUCGGCAUGAUUUUGUCAUCCGAUCAAGGCUGUGCUCGAUCUCGUAUCGAUGAUAUUACUGUCUUUUAUUAUACUCGCAGAAGGGUUUGUUUAUAUUUUUUCAAACAUUCGCUAGAAUUUAUUCAUUUGGACUUUUGGUGUAGGAAUGAAAUCAUUUUUCUAAACGAUUUUUAUAUUAAAAAGAAUUAUUUUUAUUUAUUUAUCGAAUUACAUGGAUAUACAGAUACAGCCUUAUAAUAUAGAAAUACGAUAAUUUUUCUGAAGGAUUUAUUUUUGUCAAUUUUGAUGAUCUCUUUCGAAAUAAGUUUAGGAAGUAUCAAUGCCGAGAUUAAACUUUAAUCUUCCCCUUUCCAUAUUCCAACCCUUGUUCAUUUCUUUCCCAAUCUGCCACCGUGAAUGUCUUGUUCCGUUAGAAAACAGCCCGGGGGUUGUUAUUGUAUAAUCUCGUUACCGGGCAGCGUUUUCAUAAGGUCGAGUUGUUUUCAGAUAAGACUGAAAGUCCAAUUACAGCUAACAUCGUGUUAGAUGAAUACUUAGAUAACGUUGUUUUGUCUUCAUUUUUCCACCAAGAUUCAGCCUACCCUUCUCUUAUCUCGUCUUUGCAAUUUGUCAUAAUGAUGUCGCAAUUAAAGCUGUCCAUUAAAGCAUACAUUCUCCACGACGUUGUUAUCAAACGGCAAUCGGAUUACGAGUAAUCAUCGUGACAGUUGGUCAGGAUAAUCGGUACCGUGGAAUCUGGACCACUAUGGAACAUGAACAUUAGCAGAUAUCAUCUUGUAGUUAAAUUUUCCGAAAAUUGGAAACCCUUUCUCGCCAUUGUUGUAGAAAUAAUGCAAGUUGGAGGUGAUGGUUAUCGGUUUCCCUUCUGAAAUUGCAUUUGGUUAUUUAUGCAGCAGGGUUUUGCAAAUUUAGAAGAAUUCAUUUUUAAGGUAAUUCAAAUCCGAGAAUCUUCUGCUAGAGGAAUUUUUCCGUUUACGAAUGAUCGGUUUGUCUCUUCAUCCCUGAGGAAGGGUGCACCGCACCCUGUUAACUCAGCGGAGAGGAACGCUCGCGAUUCGUUGCGUGUGCGGUCACGCGUGCACUCGUGAAUGGGCCAGUAACACGCCACAGGGAAUAUGAAAGCGAGAGUCACUCGACUGUUACUCCAACCACGUUCCGUUGAACUUGACCCACUCUUUGUCUCGCGGCGCAGCCUGCUUCUCUCGUAGCUAACGAAAACGUCACGUCCCUUUCCACCGGCCUCCGUUCUGUGUUCACCUUCGUCGCGAACAGCCGUUCGAGUUACCUGCGCCCGACAGGUACAUCACGAAAUAUUCCUGCAGCUGCUUUAACCGGGUCAAGUUCGUUCCUAGAGAUUGGACGCCCACGGACGCGGAACUGAUACUUCCAGCGUCUUUUAACCCGCCUUUGAUCAUUGGACCCCUAUGUUACAAUGUUCCUUUACGUUGUAAACGGCGGGACAACAGGGAAUAAUGUAAUCAUCAGCGCGAUAAAUAUGCAUUUAAAAAAAUAUACAAAGCACGGUGCAGUAAAAAGGAAUUGUAAGGUGCGCGAGUUCAAAACCAAUGAGAAUGAAAUUUUUUUUUAAAUUAAAUUUUUACUUAUUAUUCUUAAUAUUUUAAUUCUGAUAUUCAGUUUUGUAUUUUAUUAAUUUUUAACAUUAUUUAAUACGUCGAUUGUCACCAGUGAUUGAACGUGUUUACAAAUUCGCGCGCUCGAUGCAGGGUCGAAGCACAGUUGCUUCCAGUUCUUCUGCUUCGAGUUCUGCUUCGAGCUUGUGAGUUUCUACACAUUUACUGUCUUAUAUUAAUAAUAGAAUAUAAAAAAUCAAGAGCUUAAAUUUGAUAAUUAAUUACUUCUUGUAUUCUUAAUUAUUCUGAUGUCUGAAUUCAAUGUGUCUGAUUAUAUAUGUAUAAUUCUACUUAUGUAGAAUUACAUAUUUGACAGUCAAGUCGUUAAGGCAGAUGAGGUAAUUUUCGAAUGUAUAUUUAUAGAGGUUCAAGUUUUCAAAGAUCUUUCGUUGGGCGUUGAAAGAAGGUCGGUUAAAUAUUUGAUCGGCUGUGUAAUUUUAGUUGGCAUUGCUCGGUUGCCGUAUACAGGUGAUGAGGUCGAAGGCCCUGGUUUAGAGAUUAGGAGUCACUGACAUUACGAGGCCGACGAAAACGAAAUUAAGUUCGGUGAACUUGAGAUACGAGCGACCUUCUCCUCCCACGUACCACUAUUACACUUUUAUAAUCGAAAACAUUUAUAUUCAAUGAUCUCCAAUCUUUCUGAAAUUUUUUACCAUGUCUAUGGGUAUUCCUCGACCAUAGGAAAUGUCACUUUUCCCACCGGUUCUUUGAUUCUGUUACCGGAACCUCCAACAAACCCUGAAUCCAAAAGCUGCUCAAACUAAAACGGCGGAAAAACGUCGUUCAGGCUCAGCCUUGCAGCGACAAUUGAAUUGUGAAAGUCCAGAAGCUUGAUAGAAAGUAUCAUAGCGGUGCAUAGAGUGUCGUGAAUCGGGUUAUACUUGGUGGAACGAAGGGACCAGUAAAAGUUGUUUGACUCUUGAAAAAAGAUGGUCAGCCAAUCAAUAGUCGAUUCAUGAGAAAGAAAAUUCAAUUUUAUUUUUAGAACGACAUCGUUUAAUAUUUUCUUUGAAUUAUCGUUUGAACAAUUUACAAACUAUUCUUUAUUUCACGAACGUACACAGGGUAUUUGAAAUUGAAAUCCAAUUGAAAAGCUGAUUCUCACUGAAAGGUACCUUUUUUUUUUCGAGGGAUUCGAACGUCGGGAUACAUCAGUCAGAUAUCAGGAUACGCGGGUGUUCGAUGGGAAAAAAAUCGAAUUCCAUGCGUUGUUGGCUACAAUUUACCCAUUGAUUUUGGUCUGCUGGCUCGCAGCGGUGGUGCAAGAAUUUUUUAACCAGCUCCGUCACGGGGAAAGAGAACGAACAAGCUUUUUGAUAGUCCGUCCGCGAAUCGAGCUUUUGUCGGUUCGCCAGCACGUAGUCGCGAUUACCCAGAUGCGCGCGGAUAUUUCGCACGGAAGCUAGUUUAUCUUGCCAACAAUGCCGUGUCCAAUAAAAGCCGACUAUCCUGCGGGAGAGUACUUGUUAUCGUGACCAGAGAAAGAAUCGGCCGAUCGGAUUUUCAAAUCGAACCCUUUUUUCCCUUCGUCGAACAAUUUUGAUAGAAAAAUAAAAAAUUUUUCCUUUCCUUUAUAAAAAUAUUUUUCACAAAUUAAAGAUGAAAUGGUAGACGUUGAACUUCUUGAGAAAUUUUCAAAGGUGAUCGAUAUUAAUUAAACGGUGAUAGAAAUGAAUGUAAUUUUCUUUUUUCCACUUUCUUCUCUGUCACAGGAGAAGGUUCAUUUUCACCGGGCAUUGUACCUCUAUCGCUCUCUGUGUUCGAGGUAAACGCUUUUUUCUCGUUUGAAAGCUGCGGUUGACCGAGGGAAAAAAAAAUUUCCUUCGCGUUGAAAACUCGUGCAACAGCUAAUUUAAUUUACCCAUUCGACGGCUGCCGUUUCAUUCGAGUAACUUUUCCUCGAGCUCGACCAUUCAAGGUGUCUAACCACUUUAUUUCUUUCUACGACACUGCGACUGACGUAAUAAACCAUACAUGUACUGGGAUAUUAUAUAAAAAAAUUAAUUUUUAACAUCCUUAUCCCUUUGCCCUGUAAUAUCAAGACACACUCGUGUCGCAAUUUACACUUCAAAUGUGUCUUUGACUGGUACUUUUAAUAUGGUUCGAUUUUUAAUUUAAUUUUAAUUAUAAUUUGGACAUAUUUCAAUUUUCUUUAUUUCUUUUAAAAUUCAAGCAACGAAUAGUUAGGAACUAUUGAAAAAAAUCAUAAUAGGAGUUAAUAAUCACCCUUCACAAGACGCAUGAGGUGCGUCCUUGUUUCUAUUGUAUAAGAAUUCAGGACGCAUAUGGUGUUUCAUUGAUUAUCUCAGACAUUGUAAGACGCAUCAGGUGCGUCCUCCCUAACCCCCCUGUGGCUGGGGGGUUUAGAAUACAGCCACGGUAACCCCUGCCUGUCGUAAGAGGCGACUAAAAGGGGGAUUAGGUUUAAGUUAGGGUUAAGUCUCGUCCUACCUGAAGGUGUCAAGCACCGUGGGCGGCUCUGCGUGGGUGGACAUUGAUUAUCGACCCUGCUCGUGGGAUCCAAAUGGAAAAAUUAAAUAGAAACAAAAAUAAAAAAAGGUGGUGAGGUAGAAGAGUAGCUGGUAACACAAGCUCGACAGUCAUACCCAAAAUGAUGACCCUUGGAAAACAAAUGCAUGUCCAGUCUUCUUGUAUCUAUGGUCACUGGAGGUAGAAAGAGAGAGAAAGAGAGUAAGCAGAUGGACGAUCAUACAAGCACAAAAGUAAAAAAGGAGAUGGAUGAGAAUAAUAGUGAAAAGAAGAAAAGAGUUAAUCGAGGAACAAGAAGAUAAAACUACAAGUAUCGAUUCAAAGCACCUUAAAAAUUGUUAAAAUUAAAGUAUUAUAGUUAUUAUAAACAUUAUAGAAAACUUUGUAAACUUGAUGUAGGCAUAAUCUCGUGCCAACCCCUUUCAAAACCUAAAAGUAUAAAAUAAAUCUGAUGUAUCUAGUAA
Molecule: long non-coding RNA, 4932 nt
Organism: Osmia bicornis bicornis
Lineage: Eukaryota; Metazoa; Arthropoda; Insecta; Hymenoptera; Megachilidae
Exons: 2
Source: RefSeq, a predicted model, not a curated record